Molecule: transfer RNA, 73 nt
Filed under: Ignavibacteria bacterium
Lineage: Bacteria; Pseudomonadati; Ignavibacteriota; Ignavibacteria
Description: tRNA-Gln
Rfam family: tRNA
About the family: Transfer RNA (tRNA) molecules are approximately 80 nucleotides in length. Their secondary structure includes four short double-helical elements and three loops (D, anti-codon, and T loops). Further hydrogen bonds mediate the characteristic L-shaped molecular structure. tRNAs have two regions of fundamental functional importance: the anti-codon, which is responsible for specific mRNA codon recognition, and the 3' end, to which the tRNAs corresponding amino acid is attached (by aminoacyl-tRNA synthetases). tRNAs cope with the degeneracy of the genetic code in two manners: having more than one tRNA (with a specific anti-codon) for a particular amino acid; and 'wobble' base-pairing, i.e. permitting non-standard base-pairing at the 3rd anti-codon position.
Source: RNAcentral
CGGCCGGUAGUGUAAUCGGCAGCACACUUGACUCUGGAUCAAGGAAAUCCAGGUUCGAAUCCUAACCGGGCAG